AACGAACGCUGGCGGCAGGCCUAACACAUGCAAGUCGAGCGAGGACUUCGGUUCUAGCGGCGGACGGGUGAGUAACGCGUGGGAAUGUGCCCUUCUCUACGGAAUAGCCCUGGGAAACUGGGAGUAAUACCGGAUACGCCCUAUUGGGGAAAGAUUUAUCGGAGAAGGAUCAGCCCGCGUUGGAUUAGGUAGUUGGUGGGGUAAUGGCCUACCAAGCCGACGAUCCAUAGCUGGUUUGAGAGGAUGAUCAGCCACACUGGGACUGAGACACGGCCCAGACUCCUACGGGAGGCAGCAGUGGGGAAUCUUAGACAAUGGGGGCAACCCUGAUCUAGCCAUGCCGCGGGAGUGAUGAAGGCCUUAGGGUUGUAAAGCUCUUUCAGCUGGGAAGAUAAUGACGGUACCAGCAGAAGAAGCCCCGGCUAACUCCGUG
This 433-nucleotide ribosomal RNA is filed under the name uncultured bacterium. Its description in RNAcentral is "partial 16S ribosomal RNA". It matches the Rfam family "Bacterial small subunit ribosomal RNA", at positions 29 to 507 of the family's 1533-position model. The record is from RNAcentral.